Long non-coding RNA from Ostrea edulis (European flat oyster), 767 nucleotides. RefSeq lists it as uncharacterized. NCBI's taxonomy places the organism in Eukaryota, Metazoa, Mollusca, Bivalvia, Ostreida, Ostreidae. The record is from RefSeq and is a predicted model, not a curated record. The transcript has 2 exons.
GUAAAAAUACAUUUUAAAUUUGACAUAACCAUCGUGUUAUUGGACAUUCACUUUACAUGAUACGACGUACUCUGCUUUAUGCAAAACCAUAGGCCUAUUCUGUAUAUAUCUGUGUGUAUACGUCUGAAAAGUUCAAAACUAUUGAAAUGGUUUUGUUUUCUAAGGGUGGUAUGUGAUACGAUUCUCGCAGACAAAUUAGAGGAGACAGGGGAAACGAGGGAGGAGAAAGUCCAAGCACCUUAGACAGAUGGUGUCAUGUAUCAUAUAGAGAGAUUGAAUUUGAAAGUGCAUUUGCCAUUACAACAUUGGGGAUGGACAACAUAGACAUUCAUGAUUGUGAAAGCUAUAAAUACAAAGACUGGAACCAUGUACUGUGCUGUUAAAGAAAAUAGACUAUCUAAGUAGACGUCCAGUGCAUUAUUUCAUUUAAUUCAAAAGUCAACAUUGUGUAAUUUUUUUCAUGGAUGACAUUGAUUAUUUGAUCUGAAUUUGCAAAAAUUGGAUUGAGUGGGAAUAAGUGCUGUGAUUUCAAAUGAAAGCCAUGAUAGACACAUUGCUUUUUCAUCCAGAUGUAAGUAAAAUCAUAAAUGCAUGUUUUCAAUUCAUAUAUUGAAAAUUCAGUUUAUUGGAAAUGACUGACUUGUGGGUAAUUAUUAUUAUUAUUUUUUUAUAAUUAAAAAACUUAUAUUAUUGGGAACAGUAUAAAUCUAUGGCCAAUUCUCUAAAUUUGAUGUGUUUUUUAUGCAUAUUAAAUCAAUAUAAAUUGA